Molecule: long non-coding RNA, 375 nt
Organism: Drosophila yakuba
Lineage: Eukaryota; Metazoa; Arthropoda; Insecta; Diptera; Drosophilidae
Exons: 2
Source: RefSeq, a predicted model, not a curated record
GGAUGUUAUGAUGUGAUAGGAAAAGUGAUAGUAUGUGUGUUGGUGUGUGAUAGUGGUUCCAGAGGCCAUGUGGACAUCCCGUCGUGGAUCUGGAUGCAGUGCACCAUGGACCUGACCAGCAUCGCAUUUCCGCCCUCCAAAGUUGGAGCCAAAAAUGGCCAAAAGGUGUAACUUUUUUGCCGGGCGGAGGACGCCCCAAUAAUAUUUUUGUUGAACGACCGCAUUCGUAAAAUUCGAGGGCUAUGAUAUACGGUGCACAGAUGCCGCGCAAACUUGUUUCAAUAUCUCCUAAACAGAGAUAUUCAAAAAAUUAAUAAAUGUAUUAAAUUGUAAAUGUUAAAUAAAUGAAAUAAACCUUUGACCUAAAACACAGAA